Pteropus alecto (black flying fox) is the source of this 119-nucleotide non-coding RNA. NCBI's taxonomy places the organism in Eukaryota, Metazoa, Chordata, Mammalia, Chiroptera, Pteropodidae. The record is from Rfam.
GUCUAUGGCCAUGCUACCCUGAACAAGCCCAAUCCUGUCUGAUCUCAGAAGCUAAGCAGGGUUGGGCCUGGUUAGUACUUGGAUGGGAGACCACCUAGGAAGACCAGGUGCUAUAGCUG